GGGCUGGUAGUUCAGCUGGUAUGAAUGCCGCCUUGGCAUGGCGGAGGUCGGGGGUUCAAAUCCCCCCCAGUCCA
RNAcentral lists this transfer RNA (74 nucleotides) under Candidatus Bathyarchaeota archaeon. RNAcentral's name for it is "tRNA-Ala". It matches the Rfam family "tRNA". From Rfam's summary of the family: Transfer RNA (tRNA) molecules are approximately 80 nucleotides in length. Their secondary structure includes four short double-helical elements and three loops (D, anti-codon, and T loops). Lineage: Archaea; Thermoproteati; Candidatus Bathyarchaeota. The record is from RNAcentral.